This is a long non-coding RNA of Pygocentrus nattereri (red-bellied piranha), 1317 nucleotides long. RefSeq lists it as uncharacterized. Lineage: Eukaryota; Metazoa; Chordata; Actinopteri; Characiformes; Serrasalmidae. The transcript is spliced from 2 exons. The record is from RefSeq and is a predicted model, not a curated record.
GCUGCCUGAGCCAUAUCUCCUCCACUCCAUCGGUAGCUACAUCAUACUUCACACAUAUAUUGGCUUUGUGUGUCAAAUCUAUAAGAUUGUUGGAAAAAAAUCAAUCUAGCAAAGAACAAGAAAACUUCAACUUGGCUCAAAGCAUCCAGAGAGUUUCUCGACACUUCAAAAUGUAUUGGUUCCUGUGCUUCAUUCUGCUCAUGGGUUUAGGAGCUUCAGAAAACACCAGCACAGAUACAACCAAUGGAGUACCUACAGACCAGAAAUCACCACAUGAAACUCCAACCCAAACUACUCCAACCCAAACUACUGCAACACAAACUAAUGUAACACAAACUACUGCAACACAAACUACUGCAACACAAACUACUGACAAACGUAGUACUUCAGUAACUAACCCUGUAGAAAGUGAAAAACCACAGGGCAAUAAGGGAGAAUGCUUUUUUUUUAUCUGCAAGUUGAAUCCAAAGGUAGCACUGCUCAUAAUCGGAGCCCUCUCACUGGCCUGUAUUAUCCUGCUGACAGCCACUCUGCUACUGGCCUGCAAAGUGUGCUGCCCAAAGACGCAAGUCCUGGACACUACUCAAUCCAGCCCAAGAAGACUGUCUGUGGAUGGUGAAUCUACUCCCAUGAUCACUGAAUUUAGCAAACCGGAGGAAGACAAUAACCAGUCAGGGCCAGAGGAGCAGGAGAAGCCGGAGGAGCCAGAAAAGCUGGUAGAGGAGGCAGCAGAAGCCACUGAGGUCAGUAACCAGGCCUCUAUGGAGGAUUUUACAGUGUGUGUAAUGCCAGCUGAGGAGCCACCGCCCACCCAGGAAUGCGAGAUGCCUGAGAAAAUAAUAUUUGACGAUGCUGAGCAACCAUAAAUCAUAUCACCACUGAAGAGCGACGCACAGCUCCAACUGCUGGUGGGACUGAAUUCACACCAUACUCCUGCUUUUGCGUGCAGUUUCACAAUUUUACUUUCGCUGUUGGUCAGCCGCAACAAUUAUAUAUAUAUAUAUUUUUUUUUUGUUUUGAGUUUGUUUUAACAAGUUUGUUGGAUAAUUCAGAGGCUUGUGGGAGAACAAGAUGUUACGUAAGGUUUCAAUGACUAUUACAUGCAGAUGAAAUGGUCUACUGUGGGAAAAAAUGAAUGAAAUACGUAACUAAGUAUGUAGAUGAUGGAUUUUGAAUAGUACAAUGCAAACCCCUGUUACCCUGUGCUUUACUAUGGCAUAACUUGUGCAAAUGUAAAUGAACUGUGUUCUUAAAUACAUAUUUCAAAACACAAUGUAUUUCUUUCGCUGAAAAAUAAAAUAAUCGUUUGAGUCCCAA